This 215-nucleotide unclassified non-coding RNA is filed under the name uncultured fungus. Its description in RNAcentral is "sequence contains ITS1, 5.8S rRNA gene". The stretch from base 167 to 215 matches the Rfam family "5.8S ribosomal RNA", at positions 1 to 49 of the family's 154-position model. Lineage: Eukaryota; Fungi. The record is from RNAcentral.
UCUCCGUUGGUGAACCAGCGGAGGGAUCAUUACAGAGUCGUAAAACACUCCCAAACCCAUGUGAACUUACCAUUGUUGCCUCGGCGGGCUACCCUGUAGACCGCCGGUGGACCAUUAAACUCAUGAAUUACCCUGUAAAUCUGAGCGUUUUAAACAAAUAAGUUAAAACUUUCAACAACGGAUCUCUUGGUUCUGGCAUCGAUGAAGAACGCAGC